GGAAACUGAGGAUAAUACUGGAUAGGCAAUUUCUCCUGCAAUGGUUUUUUGUUUAAAUGUUUUUUCGCUUAAGGAUGGGUCUGCGGCCGAUUAGGUAGUUGGUUAGGUAAUGGCUUACCAAGCCGUUGAUCGGUACGGGUUGUGAGAGCAAGAGCCCGGAGAUGGAACCUGAGACAAGGUUCCAGGCCCUACGGGGUGCAGCAGGCGCGAAACCUCCGCAAUGUGAGAAAUCGCGACGGGGGGAUCCCAAGUGCCAUUCUUAACGGGAUGGCUUUUCAUUAGUGUAAAGAGCUUUUGGAAUAAGGGCUGGGCAAGACCGGUGCCAGCCGCCGCGGUAACACCGGCAGCUCUAGUGGUAGCAGUUUUUAUUGGGCCUAAAGCGUCCGUAGCCGGUUUAAUAAGUCUCUGGUGAAAUCCUGUAGCUUAACUGUGGGAAUUGCUGGAGAUACUAUUAGACUUGAGACCGGGAGAGGUUAGAGGUACUCCCAGGGUAGAGGUGAAAUUCUGUAAUCCUGGGAGGACCGCCUGUUGCGAAGGCGUCUAACUGGAACGGUUCUGACGGUGAGGGACGAAAGUUAGGGGCGCGAACCGGAUUAGAUACCCGGGUAGUCCUAACCGUAAACGAUGCGGACUUGGUGUUGGGGUGGCUUUGAGCUGCUCCAGUGCCGAAGGGAAGCUGUUAAGUCCGCCGCCUGGGAAGUACGGUCGCAAGACUGAAACUUAA
RNAcentral lists this ribosomal RNA (724 nucleotides) under uncultured archaeon. Its description in RNAcentral is "bacterial SSU rRNA". It matches the Rfam family "Archaeal small subunit ribosomal RNA", at positions 135 to 859 of the family's 1478-position model. The record is from RNAcentral.